Molecule: long non-coding RNA, 882 nt
Filed under: Anas platyrhynchos platyrhynchos (common mallard)
Lineage: Eukaryota; Metazoa; Chordata; Aves; Anseriformes; Anatidae
Description: lncRNA (ENSAPLG00000030267.1)
Source: RNAcentral
GCUUGCAAUACAUGAUGUGAUCACCUGGGAUGUAUUAGAGAGCUCAAAAAGUAUUUGAGGUGAAUUCUAGCCUGCCUGACUUCUCUUAGGGAGAAGCUAAAUAGAUAUAUCCCAGCUUUCAGAUAUUUAAGCUACUCUGCUUCAUGGAGAUUACUUAAAUCAAAUAAUUAAUUGUUAAGAGAAAAGCUACUUUCCUUACUAAUCAAACUUCAUCCUAAAGAUGCAUCUUAAUGAAUGGGCUAAGUCAACUCGUUGUUCUAGUUACCAGUCAUGGAAUAUUCUUUCUGCUGUGAUACACAUAGAAAGAAGGUUCAUGUUGGACUGUUCUGUAAAAUCUUUCCAUGAAAUGCUAGAACUUUAGUGUUUGCUCCAGGAAAAGGUGAGUUAAUAUGUGUUUCCAUGUACCCUGAUAGUUGCCUUGCUUAAUCAGUAGCAACAAGGAUGUCUUUACUGACACUGAAAGCUUUCCCAAAGUAUUGUUUCCACUGUUACUGAUAUGUUGCUUAACAGAACUAGCUUAAGCUUGCCAUACCAAGUUUUUCAUUGCUUGGAUUGCAUUGGUUGGUUAUCUUUUUCUGUUAACUUUCCAUAUAUAACUUAAUUAGGUUGUGAAUAAUAGGAUAUGUUAUCAGAUGGUAUGGCAUUAUUAACUUCAGUGAAGUGUUGUAUGAUGACCUGGACAAUAAUUUACACGUUUUUCAUGUUUAACUGUCUCUGACCAUUUUGGAUGAAGGUAACUGCCAGCAAGUGUGAUUGCAACUCCACUGCCAAAAAAGGUGUGUCUGUUUAUGCCAGUGAGGUGCUUUACUGAUGGUGUAAAUGUAAUAGCAUGGUAAUUACUGAUUAUAGAUACAAUUAGGAUCAAACUAUUGUACAUACAGA